ACAACAGGUUGAUUAAAAAUAAAAAAUUAAUCCGCAUCCGCAUUCAUAUUUUGGUUUUACAAUAAUUGGUUGUGUGACUUAGCAUCUUCUACAAUUUUUUUUGCUUAUGGUUACCCAUUCUCUGACUCCCAUCUUCUUAAGGUCGUCUACUAUCUGCUUCUCCCAUUUAGUUUUUGGUCUUCCUCGUGGUCUGCCUGAUACAGGUCUCCAUUUGGAAAUUUUCUUGAUAAUGGUUUCUGGAUUUCUCCUUUCUAUAUGUCCGAUUUUUAGAUAUAUAAAUGUAAAAUGAUAUCGGCAUGGCUCGCAGUAAAAUAGAUGUACAUAAGAAUGAAAAGGCACCGAUUUCUGACUAUUGAUCUGAAUCAAUACUGUCCCAGGCAACCAAGUGACGUCAAUAACGUCGAGGAAACGUCAGUGUUUGGUUGAAUAUAUACACGUGUUUGAACAUUACGUCGUGAAAACAUCUUUUGUAGGUGAUUUUAAAUACGUAAGAUUGAUGACGUUAAAAUACCUUUAAAAACACGUUUUCAUUUCAGACAGCCUAAGUCUGACGUCACGAAAUUGGGAGGAGCUUACUUGUCAAAAGUUACAAAACAAAGGUUAUGUUUGAGUUUGUAUUUGUAUCAUCGUUUCAUUUCAUUGUCGUCGUAUUUUGCGUAUUUUGGAUUCAUUUGGAUUUUGUUUGCUGUUUUUUUGUCUAUUUUUUAAAUCUUUUGUUUGUCAUUUGUGAACUUUAUAAACUUACCACAAUGCAAAGUGAUUAUUUAAUGAAAUUAUUAUUGGAACCUCCAGAUCUUGGAGAAAGGUACGCGAAACAAUUUUUAUUUACUGUUCAUUUUUCCCUGAUAUUUAUCAAUAAUGAUGAAUUUUGCAAGCAAUAACAUUAUUUCUUUUAUUGUUUUAGAUAUUCAUUGAAGCUGAAAAUAAUUGGACAUUUAGAUAUUCCACCAAUUACUAUUAUAAUGCUAUUAUAGAUAUUUAUACAUAUCUGGUGGAGUCUCACAGUUACUACUUUAGACAGCAGAUGAAAGCAUACAAAAGCCUUCAGGCACAUAAGAGCCUUUACAACUGCAUUCGUUUUGAAAGUUGGAGUAAAAAUUGUUAAUGAUUUCUAUAUUAUUGUUGGAAAGGUGAAGCAUUCUCAAAAAGCUAACGCUAAACCACUAGAUGCUUGGGUGAUAGCCAGUUCCAAUGGCAUAGCAAAUGCACAUUGUAUGUGUAUGGCCGGUAAUAGUGAAGUUUGCAGCCAUAUUGCAGCAAUCUUAUUUGCAGCUGAGUAUGCCCACAGCAAGACAGAAGAAGAAGAACCCAAAGUACAGAUGUACAGAUGUUACAGCUAUGUACAUGGUUUGGAGAUAGCAACAUAUGCAUUCUCUGAUGAAAAACUAAUAAAUUUUGAAACUGUUGGGUCAGAGUGCUUGUUGCACUCUCUAAACGAACUGAAAUAUAAGACGGCUUUGGCUUCAUGUUGCAGCGAUAUGAAAAUGGUUAUUCAUUCCUAACUAUAAUGUACUUCAUCAUGAGUAUCUAUGUAUUAGUCUUUUAAGUGUGUAUUAUCAGAUAUCACAUGUAAAUUGUUUUAUCAUUUUAAUUUGGUCAUUGCAGUUCCUUAAUCAAAAAAUAUAUUUUUCAGGUGUCUGUAGAUCUUUUUGUAUGCAAAAAUAUGUAAUAAUUAUUUGGAAUCAAAUUGAGGAUUAUAAGAGUAUGGAAAUAUAUGUGAGAACACAGA
RNAcentral lists this long non-coding RNA (1729 nucleotides) under Diabrotica virgifera virgifera (western corn rootworm). RNAcentral describes it as "uncharacterized LOC126885297". Lineage: Eukaryota; Metazoa; Arthropoda; Insecta; Coleoptera; Chrysomelidae. The record is from RNAcentral.